GUGGGUUGCGUCAGGGAGCAGCAGGGCCUAUGGCAAAAGAAAGUGCGAGUGUCACUGCCAAGAGAGACAGGGACAUCUCCCAGUUUCUGUCAGUGUCAGUGUGUUGUCAUGUGGGAGACAGGCCCAGGCUUGCAAGAGCUUCUGGUUCAUUGAGGGAAGCCAGAAAUCUGAAUUUUCAUGUGAAAUUUACUGGGAUUUUUUUGAGGCAGUUCAUUCAAACUUUGCAAAAGCACUGUAUGGGCCAAAUAAGCCACCUCUGUGAGCUGAAUGCAGCCCAUGGGCAAUCAGCUGGCAAACUCUGGGGUAAGAGGAACAAGGAAGAAGCUGGGGCAGAGCCCUGGGGCCAUGGCUGCAGGGUUUGCUCUCUGAAGGAAAUCACAGGAGGUAGGAGGUUUUGGGAGAGAGUGGGUUGGAGUGCUGGGUAUCACAGAAGGCCACGAGUUUGAGAAUGGAAAUUUGGCCUACAGAGCAACACAGAACAAGUCUGUGCAAUGGUAGGGGCAGAAGCCAUCUUUUCAGAGCCAUCAGAAAGUUUCCACCUGCUAUGGCUGAAUGUUUGUGUUCCUCCCAAAUUCAAGUGCUGAAUUCCUAACCCCGAAGGUGAUGGUUUUAGGAGGUGGUGUCUUUGGGGGGUGAUUAGGUUAAGGGAGUGGAGCUCCCCAUGACUGGGAUUAGUGCCCUUAUAAAAGAAAGAGACCCCAGAGAGCUCCCUUGUCCCUUCCACUCUGUGAGGACACAGCAAAAAAAAUGUCGUCUAUGAACCAGGAAGAGAGUCCUCAUCAGACACUGGACCUGUCAAUGCCUCGAUCUUGGACUUCCAGCCGCUGGAACUGUGAGAAACAAAUUUCUGUUGUUUUCAAGCCACCCAGUCUAUGGUAUUUUGUUAUAGCAGCCUAAACAUACUAAGAUACCACCUUAUUUACAAGGGACAGUAAGGAAGAAGGAAGGAAAGUGUCUUUGCUUCAGAGCAGAGCUACCCUAGAAGGGAGUGGUUGAGGACUGCUCAGCCAGUGUGAGGCCCAUUCCCCACCAAUCCCAUUUGAAGGGAGAUGGAGCUGCUGACACCUUCCGGUGGCCUCCUGCGAUGUUGUGAAUCACAGACUUUGUGAAAUGAAAGGUUAAUGAUGUUCAAAACAGAAGAAUAAGGUUCAUCACUCCCACCCCCAACUCCUGUUCCAGGUGCAAGGCCUGGGGUGAGCUCCUUGGUCCGUCCACCUGAGAGCGACUGUGAGAGCUGGAAGCAGCACCGCCCAGCAGUGCUUUCCUCAUGCACAGCCACCUUCUCCAUCUGUGCCGCCCAGUACAGUAACCACGUGGCUGCUGAGCACGUGAAAUGUGGUUACUGUGACCGAGGGGCUGGAUCUGUUAUUUUAUUGAAUUUUAACUAAAAUAGCCUCAUGGGACUAGCAGCUGCCAUAUUGGAUUAUGCAACUCUAGAGGUUUGGAAGAAACAUCACGACUACAUAGGCAAUGACUCUGCCCUUCCCUAUCUCCUUUCUCAUCUCUCCUGAGGAGGAGGGAAGGCCAACAGGGAGCCUGGUGUCCUGGGUUGGGUCACUCUGUAUUGAUAAGACCCUGUGAGUGUGGCUCCCUUUUCUCUCUCUUACCUCCCAGGGGCUGGAUAGCGAGGCUGAGGUGGGGCCUGUCUUCUUGGGGCUCUCAGGGUCAUCUUGUCCUCUCUCUUUCUUGAUUCUUAUAGGCAGCUCUGGCACUCUGGUCUUAUCAGGCCCAGAGAGAGCUGGACAUAGACCAGGGCUUAGUGGACUGGACACAACUCCAUGGGUUGUGGGCCUGAGCCUUGAGCUUCAGCUCAGUCACCCACCUACGGGUUCUGCUUGCCUGGCAGCUAGCCGGGCUCAUCAUAAAAGGACCACGGUUAGUUUCCUUCCCCUGAUCUCUCAGGUGAGGUUGUCUCUCAGAAGGACUUGGUGGGACAGGAGUAGGGGAGGAGUGGCCUUGGUUUGGCAGGAUUCAAGCAUUCUUGAGUUCCUAAAACAUUUGCAUCUAAUAGGGUCUCAAGCCCCUAACAAUGGUAUUUUCUUAUUUUUUAUUCUGGUAUUCAAAUAAUAAUGAUAAUAAUAAAAUUAACUUCACAUAUAAUAUAGAAACAUAUUCCCAUUGUAAAAGAUGAAAAUAAUUCAGGAAGUCCUCCCCAUAGAUAAAAUUGCCUAUAGCCCUCCUCCCAGUCUUCCUUCUGUACACACACACACACACACACACACACAUGCACACACACACACACACCAGCAGGGGUGUUUUAACCCCCACUGCCAAAGAUUAUACUAUAUAUUCUGUGACUUGCUUUUCUCACAUAUCAUAUCUUGGGGGAAUCUUUCCAUAUCGGUUAAUGGAGGUAGAUCCCACUCCUUUUAAAUUGCUGCAUAGUAUUCCAUUGUACUCACGCAGCGUGGCUUCCUUAAUCACUCCCUGUGAAUGGAUAUUUGUUUUCCCCCCUAAAUUUCGAUAUCAAAAACUGUGUUGCAAUGAGCAAUUUUGUACAUACCUCUUUGUACAUGUCUGUGAGCAUAAGCAGACACACACACAAUAGGGAGGUGUGUAGACUGUGGUUCAGCAAGUGUUCACUCCUCCCCUACCCCAGCCUCCAUGGGAGGGGUGUACCUCCCAUCCAGUUGACAUCCAGCUUGGCCCCGUGACUUGCUUUGCCCAACAGAAUGAGGGCAGGAGUGAGGGGCACCAGUUCUGACUUUAGGCCUGAAGAGGCCUUGAAAGUUCCCACUUGUCCCUCUUUGGCUUCUACUUUCAUCGCGAGAGUAACACUCCCCAGGGAGCUAUUGGUCCAAGAAGCCUGAGAGACACAGUCUGGAGCCCAGCCCAGCCAUGUCCAGCCUAGAUCAGCUGAACCCCAGCCAAACAGCAGGCAAGUAAGUGAGAAAAUAAGUGCUUGUUGUUCUCUCCAGCUGAGAGUUCAAGGUUGUUACACAGUAAAAGUCGCCUGACACAAGUGAAAACUGGUAGA
Molecule: long non-coding RNA, 2977 nt
Organism: Homo sapiens (human)
Lineage: Eukaryota; Metazoa; Chordata; Mammalia; Primates; Hominidae
Source: Ensembl